GUGGGGAAUAUUGGACAAUGGGCGCAAGCCUGAUCCAGCCAUACCGCGUGGGUGAAGAAGGCCUUCGGGUUGUAAAGCCCUUUUGUUGGGAAAGAAAAGCAGCGGGCUAAUACCUUGCUGUUCUGACGGUACCCAAAGAAUAAGCACCGGCUAACUUCGUGCCAGCAGCCGCGGUAAUACGAAGGGUGCAAGCGUUACUCGGAAUUACUGGGCGUAAAGCGUGCGUAGGUGGUUGUUUAAGUCUGUUGUGAAAGCCCUGGGCUCAACCUGGGAACUGCAGUGGAAACUGGAUGACUAGAGUGUGGUAGAGGGUAGCGGAAUUCCCGGUGUAGCAGUGAAAUGCGUAGAGAUCGGGAGGAACAUCCAUGGCGAAGGCAGCUACCUGGACCAACACUGACACUGAGGCACGAAAGCGUGGGGAGCAAACAGGAUUAGAAACCCUAGUAGUCC
This 450-nucleotide ribosomal RNA is filed under the name uncultured Stenotrophomonas bacterium. RNAcentral describes it as "bacterial SSU rRNA". It matches the Rfam family "Bacterial small subunit ribosomal RNA", at positions 354 to 796 of the family's 1533-position model. The record is from RNAcentral. Lineage: Bacteria; Pseudomonadati; Pseudomonadota; Gammaproteobacteria; Lysobacterales; Lysobacteraceae.